Molecule: non-coding RNA, 1900 nt
Organism: Solanum lycopersicum (tomato)
Lineage: Eukaryota; Viridiplantae; Streptophyta; Magnoliopsida; Solanales; Solanaceae
Source: RefSeq, a predicted model, not a curated record
AAAGAGAAGGAAUAAGUAGAAACUAGAGAUUCAAAUUGCAUCCUAAAGGGUAAACAAAGGUGAAAGGAGUUCAUUCGAUUUGCUUUGAAGAUAAUUCAAUGAGAAAGGUUGCAGAAAUUAAGACUCACAUGAAUACUAUUUACCGUUCUGUGUAUACAAACAUUAUCCAGUAUCAGACAUCAUAUGUUCUAGUUUCUAUUUCAACAGAAUGUAAGCAUGAGGAGGGGUAGACAGUACAAGAAAAAAAGUUUAAAGAGAAUUAUUUUCAGCGACUAGUUUCAUCUGCUUCACUGCUUGUUACCAGUUCAGACACGGAUUUGGCACUCUUAAAAAGCGACUGGUAUUAGCACCAUCCCUACAAGCUUUAAGUCUGCCAACUGACAAUAUUUUGAGAGAGAAAUGUCAAUCAGGCCUAUUACGACUGUUGUAGGUUUGUAGCUUGUAAUUAGGUGAGAAGUAAAUAUCAAGGUGUAGUAAACUGAUUGCAAUAUUUUAAAAGGGAUGUAAAGAUUGGGCAAUUUUUGGAAGCUAUGCAUUAAUUUAACUAGAAUAUGGGAUCAACUUCACAUAAAAGACUUCUUGAUCAUAGCAUCAACAUUUUAUAGAAUGCACUUCAUUUGUUUCUAUUUUGUUUACUUUCUUUUCCAUUUUCUUAUUCUACUAUUAAACAAGACCAGAAAACCAUACUUGGCUAUAACUGCAAGCUGCGUACUGAGCACAUAUAGAGGCUAGAGGAUUAAACUAGAGAAGUUUUGAGAUGGUCAGGUCGUGCUAUGCAGAUCUUAGAUACUCCGGUCGUAUGAAACCAUAGUGACUGCAGAUGUUAAAUAGGGACAAGGUAAACCUAAAUUCACAAAAAUAAGAUAUUGUAGUGAAACAAAUGCAAUCUCUUGGAAGUUGGAAUCAAUGCAGAUUUGACAGAAAGUAGAGCACAAUGGAAAAAUAAUCUAUAUUGGUGUAUUGACUAGUUGGGAUUAAUUGAUCAAGACUAUCAUGUUGUACGCUUACUUUAGGUCCAAUAUUCAGCUAGGAUUCUCUUAAUCUUGUUCGAGAUUUGUAUGCAAAUAGAAGAUAUAGAGAACUUCAAAACCUAAAUUAGUAAAUAUUUGACGGAGACAGAUCUAAAUGGAGCGACAUAGAUAGUGAGGAUUCAUAUAACCGGCCCCAAGUUUAGAACUGAGGCGUUAAUAGUUGUUUUGGUUCUCACACUAAAAUUUAUGAUUUUUCAAGCUGUCACCACAGACUGUGAUAGUACUUCUAGGAUCAAUAACGGGAGACUGCCCCCUCACCCACUUUUCCUUGAAGAUAAACUUGAUGAACUAAAGUGAUCUACUUUCUGCAUGGAUUAGCUAAAAGAAGAGCAUUCAUCAGAAAAGGAGAAUCUGAAUCUCAUUCAACAAAUUUGUAGGAAUCUCUAGUGCGAUCUCCUAGGUCAAACAUUUGUUUGUUAAACAAAAUAAUUUUCUAAAAUCUGAGGAGCUCAUCUUACUUUGUACUUCUAUAUGUGGUUGUUAACAAGUUGAAGCAGAUAAAUGCUUAUAUGCUACAAUCCGAGCAAGCAUCAGGAACAUGCUUCAUGAAAACACUAAAGAUGACUGUCUAUCAUCCUCCUCAAAUUUGUCCUUAUCCCAUUUAACCCAUCCUACCAAUACAAACCAAUUGUAACUUAACGUACUUGCCCAAAGUGACCAUUUAUGCCUAUCUGAAACGUUAUGUAACAACACUAACAGAACUUGAGAAUAACAUUAUUCUCAGUUUUUUUUACACCCUAGUUUACAUUGGUCCACAGAAGCACAUAAGACAUUCCCAUCAGGAAGCGUGCAAAAAUGGAUUUUGAAGAAAAGGUCAAGUAAUAUGAUAGACCCAUAAACUGCAGGACUCACUAGCAACUACAAGGCUA